AGAGCGAACGCUGGCGGCAGGCCUAAUACAUGCAAGUCGAACGGAUCCUUCGGGAUUAGUGGCGGACGGGUGAGUAACACGUGGGAACGUGCCCUUUGGUUCGGAACAACUCAGGGAAACUUGAGCUAAUACCGAAUGUGCCCUUCGGGGGAAAGAUUUAUCGCCAUUGGAGCGGCCCGCGUCUGAUUAGCUAGUUGGUGGGGUAAAGGCCCACCAAGGCGACGAUCAGUAGCUGGUCUGAGAGGAUGAUCAGCCACACUGGGACUGAGACACGGCCCAGACUCCUACGGGAGGCAGCAGUAGGGAAUCUUGCGCAAUGGGCGAAAGCCUGACGCAGCCAUGCCGUGUGAAUGAUGAAGGUCUUAGGAUUGUAAAAUUCUUUCAGCGGGGACGAUAAUGACGGUACCCGCAGAAGAAGCCCCGGCUAACUUCGUGCCAGCAGCCGC
RNAcentral lists this ribosomal RNA (446 nucleotides) under uncultured bacterium. RNAcentral's name for it is "SSU rRNA". It matches the Rfam family "Bacterial small subunit ribosomal RNA", at positions 26 to 518 of the family's 1533-position model. The record is from RNAcentral.